Molecule: ribosomal RNA, 468 nt
Filed under: uncultured bacterium
Lineage: Bacteria
Description: partial 16S ribosomal RNA
Rfam family: Bacterial small subunit ribosomal RNA
Source: RNAcentral
GACGAACGCUGGCGGCGUGCUUAACACAUGCAAGUCGAACGGAAAGGCCCUGCUUUUGUGGGGUGCUCGAGUGGCGAACGGGUGAGUAACACGUGAGUAACCUGCCCUUGACUUUGUGAUAACUUCAGGAAACUGGGUCUAAUACCGGAUAGGAGCUCCUGCUGCAUGGUGGUGGUUGGAAAGUUUCGGCGGUUGUGGAUAGACUCGCGGCUUAUCAGCUUGUUGGUGGGGUAGUGGCUUACCAAGGCUUUGACGGGUAGCCGGCCUGAGAGGGUGACCGGCCACAUUGGGACUGAGAUACGCACCAGACUCCAACGGGCGGCAGCAGUGGGGAACAUUGCACAAUGGGCGGAAGCGUGAUGCAGCAAUGCCGCGUGCGGGAUGACGGCCUACGAGUUGUAAACCGCUUUGGAAUGUGACGAAGCGUGAGUGACGGUAAUGGGUCAAGAAGCACCGGCUAACUACGUG